This 253-nucleotide ribosomal RNA is filed under the name uncultured bacterium. RNAcentral describes it as "partial 16S ribosomal RNA". It matches the Rfam family "Bacterial small subunit ribosomal RNA", at positions 524 to 776 of the family's 1533-position model. The record is from RNAcentral.
UACAGAGGGUGCAAGCGUUAAUCGGAUUUACUGGGCGUAAAGGGCGCGUAGGUGGUAAAGCAAGUAAGAUGUGAAAGCCCUGGGCUUAACCUGGGAAGUGCAUCUUAAACUGCUUAACUUGAGUAUGGUAGAGGGUAGUGGAAUUUCCGGUGCAGCGGUGAAAUGCGUAGAGAUCGGAAGGAACGCCAGUGGUGAAGACGACUACCUGGACCAAUACUGACACUGAGGCGCGAAAGCGUGGGGAUCAAACAGG